UACGUAGGGUGCGAGCGUUAAUCGGAAUUACUGGGCGUAAAGCGUGCGCAGGCGGUUCUAUAAGACAGCUGUGAAAUCCCCGGGCUCAACCUGGGAAUUGCAUUUGUGACUGUAGAGCUAGAGUACGGUAGAGGGGGAUGGAAUUCCGCGUGUAGCAGUGAAAUGCGUAGAUAUGCGGAGGAACACCGAUGGCGAAGGCAAUCCCCUGGACCUGUACUGACGCUCAUGCACGAAAGCGUGGGGAGCAAACAGG
This 253-nucleotide ribosomal RNA is filed under the name uncultured bacterium. Its description in RNAcentral is "partial 16S ribosomal RNA". It matches the Rfam family "Bacterial small subunit ribosomal RNA", at positions 524 to 776 of the family's 1533-position model. The record is from RNAcentral.